AGUCCUCUUCAAUUGUGUGUCCUGCUCGGUUGGCAGACAGGCAAGGGGAGACGGGCUGCAGGGACGGCUGCAACAGAAGUUUGAUACCAACCGCGUGCUGAUGCUGGGUGCUCGCUGUGUGACUGUCUAGGAGUGGAAUUGGUCAGGUGUGCCCUGCUUGGUGCCACCACCCGAUGGCGAGCUAAGCCCAAGAAGGAGCCUCGAACACCAUCCUCCCACAGCAACAGCACUCCUGUGGUUCGGUAGGGGCUGCUGCAGCCAGUCUACUGCGGACUGUGAUUUAUCACCAGUGAGGUGAUUGGGUGGAGUACAGGUACUCCAGGUGUUUUCCUGGACUAGGACUGUUGCAUUUCUUUUGCUGUUGCUAUUGUGAAACUGUAAACUGAACUGUUUAUUUGUGGUCAGAACGAAUGGUUAAAACAAAGUGCACUUUUCCCUCUUCAAACUUCUCUAAUAAUUUCAAAUCAAGCUUGAACAAAGUCAUAUCUGCAGAUUGUAAAUAUUUUGGGGCUACUGUUUGAAUUCACUUUUUUCCCACUGUUAAUAAUAAGGCACUGGCCACUAAACCAUAAAUACUUGUCUGUGUUGUCUUUAUACUGCCACACGCACCUCCCAGAGCCGAACCUUAGCAUUUUCUGAUCUAGUCCAAUUACCACCUUAUAAAAUUAAUAAACUCAUACUCUUCUUAUUGAGCAUUA
Molecule: long non-coding RNA, 698 nt
Organism: Epinephelus moara (kelp grouper)
Lineage: Eukaryota; Metazoa; Chordata; Actinopteri; Perciformes; Serranidae
Exons: 3
Source: RefSeq, a predicted model, not a curated record